CUUAACAUUACAACCAGUAAUUCUCCCACUGUCACCUCGGCAGAGGCAUCCGAUCAUUGAAUAUCUUUAGUUGCAGUCCAGGGAAGAGGAUGGAGGCAGAAAGCUGUCUGAAUCAGUGCUACUCAGUGUGGGCUGAAGUCCAGGGCUGGUCCAUGAUCUGUUUGUUGCCAGCUUGUGGCAAGAUCUGAGAUGAAGAUUGUAAGAGAUACUGUGCUGUGGGCCCAGCACAAUACCAGGCUCGUGGUAAGGAUUGUAAGUUGCCUUAAAGGUCAUCUGGUUGAACCCACAACCUACUGCUCCAGUGAGAAUCUCAGUCUCCACCAAGGAACCAACCACAGCUACCCCAGCACAGCCAGCAUAUCCUGACUGGGACCCCCAGCUCAGGUAAGGCAAAUAGUACUGGCCAGGUCAUCUCUACCCUCGUCUCCAUUAUACCUGAAGAACUUAGCAUCCUAACUCAAGAGAAAACAUGACAUCCUUCUCUCUCAUGAUAACAAAUCCUGAUUUUGUUCAGGUAUCGGGCAUCCAUGUGCUUCAGGGGAAGUGCGCCCCUUCCAUGGUAAUUCGCCUGUCCAGUGACUGAUUUAGGAAUGGGUUUGUGAUAUAACCUGGAUAACAAAACAUGGAGAGAGGUCUGAGUCUCUCCAGGACCGAAGGAGUAUCAGGAAAUAUUUUCUUACUCUUAAAAGCAAGGAAACUAGGCUUUUUUUCUGCCUCUAAAUGUCCACAUUUGAAGCCUGGAAUUGCCAAAGUCUUCUGGGAACCAUGAGGGGACUCAGCCAAAGAGGAUAAAUCAACAUGUGGAAAGCAACAAACGAAAUAACAGAAAGAAGUAGGACAUUGAUGUUUUUGUUAAACCCAUGAAUUAACCAAUCCAAGAUCAGAACUACCUCAGCAUUUUCAAUAUGUAAGAUAAUAAUUUUUCCUUUAAGUCAUUGGUAAUUGGGUUUUCAGUUGCUUGCAGCCAAAAGAUGUACAAAAUAGACACAUGAAGUCUGAGGCUAUAAACUGUUGGGCACCUUUGAUCCAAGGCUUCCCUUACUCCCUUCCUUCUUCUGAGCAGCUAAGUCAUCUCCGACUCACACAGUGUACCCCGAAUAUUUAAAGGAGUUCAGGAUAGACGAGGAGUUCAUUCCCUUUCACCACAGGACAUGACUCCUGCAUUUUAGCAAAUUCUCAGGCCAGCCCCAUCCCAUCUUCCUCAUUGGUUUCAGCUAGGGAAACCAGAGCGCUGCAAAGCCCACUGCAGACUCCGAGGCUGUAAAUGAAAGGUGUGAGGCACGCCGGCUGUGUACUGGCCACGUCUGCUUCUCUUGCAGGCUCCACCAUCAGCCUCUUCCUCCUGAAGUGGACCCUCCUCUCCAGCUCUUGCCCAUCCACUGUGACCGUUUUCAAGCCCCUUCUCUUCUGUGACGCCUUCCAGCAUAACGCCAGACCACACUCUGUACUGAACUUUUAGACACUCGAUACUCUGCAAGUUUCUGCCUUCAGAUUGUGAACUUGACACUGUGCCUCCAACCUGGCUGUGCACCUUUGAGCACAGGGAUGAGUGCAGACCUCUGCAUGUUUCCAGUGAUGACCAACACACAGAGGCAUUACAUAAAUGCUUGAGUUUAAGUAGAAAGUAAACUUUCCCCACAGCCAUACAAUCACGAUAAAAUUUUGAGUUAGAGCCUCAAAAGCUCUCUUGUCCAGCUGCUGCCCUCAAUGAUCCUACAGAUGGAGUUCGAUCCUACAGACUUCAAUCUUUGCAGUGAAGCAGAACUCAUUACUUUGGGUGCCAUCUGUUUCAUUUCUGGACAACUCUCAGGGUUGGAAGUUUAUUUCAAUUUUAUUAUCAGGCCCCAAUUUGCUUCCCUAUAACCUGUCUUCAGCUCUUUUAUUUAUCUUUCUGGGAUAAAAAAAGAAUAAAUGUAUUCUAUUUUCACACACUAGCCCUACAAAUAUUGAAAGCAGCUAUUAUAUCUGUUCUAAAUCUUCAUUUGUCCAAACUAAAUAUCUUCAAUUACUUAAAUUAUUCUGUAAGAGGGGAGGGUUCCAGAAAUUUGUUUCAUAUUUCUUGUGCACAUUCCAAUUAGCCAUUUCUCUGUUAAGAUCUCAUUUAUUGAUUCAACAAAUAUUGAUUGAGUUCUUACUUUAUACAAGACUUACAUCGGAGAAUCUGACUUGGAGCUUGCAGUCCAGGAGGGAAGAUAAUUAAACAGUGACAGUGAGGAACAAAGUGUGCUGGCUCGUGCAUUGCACCAUUUCAGGGGCACCAUUCACACAUAAUACAAUGCAAAUUUCACCCCUUGGAGUUGUGCAACUUGGUGACCAGGCACUGAUGGGAGCAAGCAAAUUGUGGAUCAGGAAAGGCCUCCCUAGAAGAAAGGACAUUUAAGCUGAGACCUGAACUAUGACUGUCAGUUAAUUAUGUAAAGCAAGGGAGGAACAGUGUGCUGGGCUGAAAGAACAGCAUGUGAAAAAUGUGGGGGAGAAAGCAAGGGGCAGGGGAAGUGACAGAAAGAAGAGGGAAUAAAGAGAAAUGAGGCUCGAGAAGUAAGUUGGGGUCAGAGCUUGCAGUGUCUAGCAGGCCAUGUUAGGGAGGUUGACUCAUAUCCUAAAGAGGGUGGGAGUCUACUGGAGAGAUUGAAGCAGGAAAAUAAUAUGAUUGUAUUUGCAUUCAGGCUGCUGUAUGGAAAGUGGAUUUGAAGAGAAUAAAACCAGAAUCUGGGAGACCAUUUCAAAACCUGUUACAGUAAUCCAAGCCAAAAAAAAAAAAAAAAAAAAAAAAUCAGAGGGUGGCCAGAAA
RNAcentral lists this long non-coding RNA (2791 nucleotides) under Homo sapiens (human). RNAcentral describes it as "HSALNT0297722". The record is from RNAcentral. Lineage: Eukaryota; Metazoa; Chordata; Mammalia; Primates; Hominidae.